This is a long non-coding RNA of Lotus japonicus, 6216 nucleotides long. RefSeq lists it as uncharacterized. The transcript has 4 exons. NCBI's taxonomy places the organism in Eukaryota, Viridiplantae, Streptophyta, Magnoliopsida, Fabales, Fabaceae. The record is from RefSeq and is a predicted model, not a curated record.
UAUAUAUAUAAUAUGUAUAUAUAUAUAUAUAUAAUAAGCCAAACAAAAAGAAACCGUAACCCACUACCAGUACCAUUCCUAAUUAUACUAUGGAACCCUAUGUUAUUCUCUCACUCUCUCGUCUUUUCCUUUCUCUGUCUCGUUCACUUUCUUUUCCCUUCGUCAGCGAUUCUUUCUUCUUUUCUUUCUUCAUCAUUUUCUUCUCUAGUCACCAAAUACCACCACAGGAUUACACAAUCAUGAGAAUACACAAGCAUGAAGGGAAAUUUCUGAAUUUAAGUUGAAGGGUUCUUGGCAUAAUUUUGGAUUUAGGAUUUAUGCUAUGAGGAAGGAGAAGAGCACCAACUCUCACAUAAUUGCUUAUUUGGUUUAUUGAGAUUUGACGGCUAGUGGUUCAUUCAAUCGACAUGGAGUGGUUGAGAGCAGUUCGGUUGAUUCGUCAUAGUUAUUUUCAGGCAACUGAGUAGCGGAUUGUUGUCAGAUUCAGAUCUUUCAGUUUUCUUAUUGGUAGGCCUCCUUUGGUUGGUGGCUCGAUUGAUGUCUUCAUUUGAUUGUAGUUAUCUGCAGCUAUAGGGAGUCUUAGGUGGAUUGAUUCUGAAUUGUUAUUUAUUAUUUUAUUUAAGAAAUUUUGGUUAUGAUGAAAACAUUUGGCAGGUUUAUUGUUUUGGAAAUGUUGAUAAUAUAAAGGAGGUUUGUUGAAUUAUUUUAAAAUAUAGAGCAACAUGUAUAAUUUUUGGAAAACACUUUGGAAAAUGAUUUUGUGAGAAACAGGCUUGCCAGACUAGGGUGUUAGUCUGUGCGCCGGUCACGGCUUAGGAUUUUGGGUCGUGACAAAGUUGGUAUCAGAGCUUUGGCUGUAGGUCCUAAUAGCUGCAGACAUGAGGAAGAGAUGGAAUCUUUCUAGUAAAUUGUGAACCGCGGCACAACUUACUUCAAAGAUGCUAUUAACGCCUCAUGAGUGUUCUAAAGUUGUUUCUAUAUUGUGAUUUGAGUUCGUUCCUCAUUCACUGAAUUCCGAGUCAUGUGUUAUGUUUGACGAAUAUUCUUUGUUCAGUGAGGAUGUCACCUUAAUUAGGAUUUUCAUUAUAAGAUGAGUUAACUUACUAGGAUCCUCUUAAAGCAGGUCGUGGUCGGCAUUGUGGUUUAGGCGAAGGACCAUUUCCUGUAGCCGCUGGUUGUUUGCUGUUGUAGCCAAUAUUAACGUGCUUAUAUUGAGGUUAUGGGGGGCUUGUCCUCUCCUUGUAACAAAAAAAAAAUAUUCAAGUUAUGAAAUUUAGGGAUGUUAGAGCUUAUAGUUGGUACGAAGGAAUUAUAAAAUGAUUUGAAAUAACGUGUUGGAGUGGUUGGUGGACAGCAACAAGGGAACCCACAUAAGAAAAUUUAUGAGAGUCAGUUAGAGGUUAGACAGAGGAAAGUAACAACAAGUAGGUGCCACUAGACAGAUUGAGGUCACAGUGAUUGGUUUUGUGUAGCUAAUUAAUUCUCCUACUUUACACAUGCAAGUAAGGAUCCACAAAGGAAUAUUGGUUCUUUAGAGAGAUUGUGGACAUAACUUUGAUGCGCAUACAUUAAUGCAGUAGAGUUAAUAUAGUUCUAUCUUUUGAUUGUGGUAUAUGAUUAGAUUGAUGACUUUAUGCGUAUGAGAGCACUGAGAUCACCUCUGAUAGCAUAAGAUGAAUUUUCCUAGAAAUUCAAGAAUCGUUUCGUAAUAGAGAGAGCUAGAGAGCUUAGCAAUUGAUUUGAGCUGCUAGGGCAGACUGAGAACAGUGACUCUAGAGAGUGGUUCUAGUGGAUACUUAUCAUGAUUUGUUCAAAUUCGUAGAGUAGAUUUUAGGGGUCUUUACAAUCCAUUUUUAUUCUUGGAAGCAUUUUGCGCAAGAUCUACACGUUGUCCUACUUGUGUGAAGUUUCAUCCCGUAGCUUGCGUUGGAGAUGAUUAGGUGUGCUGUUAGUGCGAUUGGACAUGUCAUAUUACGAGGAAUUUCCUUGUGGUUGUGGUGCAACCUUUCUCUAGUAAGGGAUAAGUGUUAUUAAGAGUAUCUUUAGCAUCUUGCCUGCCCCUACAACACUUGUUAGACAAGCUAUGAGUUCUUUUGGGUGAAGCCGAGGUUUAUCUAAAAAUAAUGGUAAAUGAAAGGGUAGUCGAGGUCAAUGACAUGAUAGGUGAGUCGAGCACAAGUAUUUUCUUUGACUCAUCACGAUGCUUAGGCAACCAAUGCAGUGACAGCAAAUAUACUCUUUAUAUGAUAUUGAGAUGAUUAUGUUUUGCUUAAGGCUAUAGGUAUAUACUUUUUAUCAUUGUCGUCAACUCAGUGAAUUAUCUUCUUUCCUGAAUAAGACGUUGGUCGCUGCUGCACCUCUUGGGGAGCAUUUGAUAAUUGAGUUUGUGCACCAUUCUUUUUAAGGUAUCCAUUGGAGAUUGAGAGUUGUGGUUAGUCAUUAUAGCAUAAGACAUGAUUGAUUUUAAUGUGAUCUUGGGAGAUAGAUUGGUUAAUCUUUUGUCAAUGAUACUUUGGACUGUCAUAGCAAGUAAUGAGAUUUACAUUAUUUGAAGAGUCAUCUUACACAUUUUUGGGAGAGUGAAGUCAAACAUCAUAUAUCAUUUGGAGCUAGAAAAUUCCUAAGAAAGGGUUGGAAAUAAUACUUGACCUUGGUAAAUGAUACUCUAACAGCUGAAAUGAAAUUAGAAGAUAUUCUUAUAGUAUGUGCAUUUUGAAGGUAUUUCGUGGAAGAUUUCCUCAUUAGCCCCUCGACAGGGGAUAGAGCUUUCCCUAAACUUGGUCCCUAGCACCAGUUUGAUUUGUUAAGAUGAGAGGUGAAAUUAUGUAGUUAUGUGUUGACUAGAGGCAGUUGGACAAUAUGAUGGUAUAAAAAACAACUUAGUAAUGUAGGUACUAUAAAUGGAAUAUUAAGAAAGAAAGAAUUUUGAAGACCACUUACAGAACAUGUUAUUUAUGACUGUAAUGGGUAGAUAGUCAUGCUUUUGGAUUUAGGGAUGCCACUACUAUUUUUUAUGAAUUUAAAGGACUGCAUCUUUAAUCAUCCAAGGAUCAUUUUGUGGUUGUUCUUGUUGAUUUGGGAUACUACUAAGACAAAGAAGAACACUAUAAGGUUGUUGAUUGUAGAGUUAUGUAUAGGCUGCCCAUUCCAGCUCACUGUUGAAUUUUUGCAAUUCUUUCUAUAGUGGACAAUGUGGUUGAUGACAUUAAACAUGAUCAAGGUCAAGAUUUGUAUGUGGUGAGGAUGGUAGAGGAUUUUUUAAAGUGAAAGGUUCCACAUUUUUCAAUAGACUCUGAUGAUAUUUUAUGACUUGAAUGGUGAUGUGUGUGCCUGAUGUAGAUAGUUUGUGGGGAAAAUAUUAGAGGAUGCUCAUAAUUAUUCUUACAUGAUUCACCUAGGAUACUUGAGAAAAUUUUAUUGGUGGGAAGAGAUGAAGAAAAAAAAAUGUUGUAGAAUUUGUUCCUAAAUGUUUAGUAUGUUAGAGAUGAAAGAUAAGCACUAAAAGUCAGCAGAGUUACAUCGAUAUAUUGAGAUACAAAUGACAGUUGAAAGAUAUUGUUACGAACCUCUUGACAAGGCUACCUUGAACCUCCAAAGAGUAUGAUUCAAUAUGAGUUAUUAUAUAUAGGUUGACUAAGCAUGCACACUUCUUGCCUAUGAAGACUUAUUACAGUAGAGUAUGCUAAGCCUUACUUUGAGGAGAUUAUCUCUCUGCAUAGUGUACCUGCCCCUAUUAUUUUAGAGUGAGGGGCUCAUUUUACUGCACAGUUUUGGAAGUCUUUCCAGAUUGUUUUAGAGACUCAUCUGAAUCGAAGUACAACUUUCUACUCUUAAAUUGAUGGCUAACUUAAGAGAAUUAUUCAGAUCUUGGAGAAUAUGUUUCAUGCUUAUGUUUUAGGCUUUAGAGGGAGUUGAGAGCAGACUUUGUUUUUAAUGAAGUUCGCUUAUAAUAGCAAGUUGUCGAUCUAGAUUUUAGAUAGCACAAUUUGAGGCUAUGUAUAGUAAGAGUCUAAGAGAUGUAGAUCACCAAUAAGUUGAUUUGAAGUUGAGAAGCUAAGUUGUAGACUCAAAACCUAUCCAAGAUGCAACAAAGAAAGUUGAACUAGUUUAAAUCGUUGGUUACAGGUCAAGGUAAACAAAAGUUUUAUGCUGAUAGGAGGUGACACCUUUUAGAGUUUGUUGUUGGAGAUCAUGCAUUCUCACACCUAUAUUCACUGAAAUGAGUACCAUGGUUUGGUAAGAAAGGGAAGUUAAGUUCAAGAUUUGUUUAAUGUAGGUACUUUGGAAGUCUUCCUUGAAUUGCUUUGGGGACUCGCUUGAAUUUAAAUACUGUUUUUCAAUCCUCAAACUAAUCCAUUAUGAAAACAUUGUUGAGACCUUGGAGGAUAUGUUGAGUUUGUGUGUUAGAUCAUGAUGGGAGUUUUGUGAACAGUAUCUUUCCUUGGUGGAAUUCUCUUAUAUUAACAAUUGUUAGCCUAGAAACCAAAUGUUUACCAUUGAGGCAUUGUGUGGUAAGUGAUGUGGAUCGCUAAUAGGUUGGUUUAAAGUCGGAGAAGCUAAACUUAUAGUCUUAGACCUUAUCCAAAAUGCAAUAGAUAAAGUUAAGUUGGGUUGAGAUUGUUUGGUUACAGCUCAAAGUAGGCAAAAAUCUUAUGUUGGUAGAAGAUGACACCCCUUAGAGGUUGCAGUUGGUGACUAUGUCCUCUUACGAGUUUUACCAAUGAAACGAGUGUCACAGUUGGUUCAAAAGGGAAAACUAACACCAAAACUCAUUGGAUUGUUUGAGAUUUUUGAGAGGGUUGGCGCUAUAGCUUAUCGUUCUGCAAUUCAUGCAGUUUUGCAUGUUUUUAUGCUUCUGAGACAUUCAUGAUUCUCCUACAUUAUUUGUCAUGAGGAUAUACAAUUAGACGAGCAUGUAUCUUAUAUGGAGCAACCAGUAGCCUUGGUUGAAAUAAGGGUGACAAAUAUGCGUUCUAAGAAUAUGGGUUUAGUGGAAGUUAUUUGGCGAUAACUAUCGGGUGAAGAGAAGUCUUGGGAAUAUGUGAGAAGUAUCUUCCGUUAUUGGAAACAAAGGUUACCUAAAACUUUAAAAUUCGAGGACGAAUUUUUCUAGGGGGAAGAUUGAAACAUCCCGUUAAUAAAUAAUAAUAAUAAAAAAAAAACAAAAAAAAAGAAAAGUAUAUAUAUAUAUAAUAUGUAUAUAUAUAUAAUAAGCCAAACAAAAAGAAACCGUAACCCACUACCAGUACAAUUCCUAAUUAUACUAUGGAACCCUAUGUUAUUCUCUCACUCUCGUCUUUUCCUUUCUCUGUCUCGUUCACUUUCUUUUCCCUUCGUCAGCGAUUCUUUCUUCUUUUCUUUCUUCAUCAUUUUCUUCUCUAGUCACCAAAUACCACCACAGGAUUACACAAUCAUGAGAAUACACAAGCAUGAAGGGAAAUUUCUGAAUUUAAGUUGAAGGGUUCUUGGCAUAAUUUUGGAUUUAGGAUUUAUGCUAUGAGGAAGGAGAAGAGCACCAACUCUCACAUAAUUGCUUAUUUGGUUUAUUGAGGUAUUCCUACAACUCAUAAAUUUAGAGAAUGAUAUGGUAAGGUACAUUAGGCUUAAGUAGUAAUAUUUUUAGGGUUUUGAUUACAUAAUUGAGAAUUUCGUAGUUGCUCACGGAUAGUAUGACAUUAGAUAAUUAUUGCUGAAGGUUGAAGUUGAUUUUGGUGUUCAGAUUUGACGGCUAGUGGUUCGUUCAAUCGACAUGGAGUGGUUGAGAGCAGUUCGGUUGAUUCGUCAUAGUUAUUUUCAGGCAACUGAGUAGCGGAUUGUUGUCAGAUUCAGAUCUUUCAGUUUUCUUAUUGGUAGGCCUCCUUUGGUUGGUGGCUCGAUUGAUGUCUUCAUUUGAUUGUAGUUAUCUGCAGCUAUAGGGAGUCUUAGGUGGAUUGAUUCUGAAUUGUUAUUUAUUAUUUUAUUUAAGAAAUUUUGGUUAUGAUGAAAACAUUGGGCAGGUUUAUUGUUUUGGAAAUGUUGAUAAUAUAAAGGAGGUUUGUUGAAUUAUUUUAAAAUAUAGAGCAACAUGUAUAAUUUUUGGAAAACACUUUGGAAAAUGAUUUUGUGAGAAACAGGCUUGCCAGACUAGGGUGUUAGUCUGUGCGCCGGUCACGGCUUAGGAUUUUGGGUCGUGAAAAUUAACUGGUUUUGUUUUUUGAUAGGCAUUUUUAACUCAAA